GCCUCAGUCUCCCAAAGCUCUGGGAUUACAGGCAUGAGUUACCAUGCCCAACAGGGAAUUGGGAAAGGAGGCCCAUCCAUUAGCCUGCGGAACUGGCUGGAGCUGACACUCUGCACACUCAGGAGCAGGCCAGCCCUUGGUAAGACAGCGAGAGGAAAGAAAGCAGCCCACCCGUUCAGUAUUCACUGCGUGCUGACCCUGUGCUGGCGGUGGAGAAUAGGAGACCACUGCCGCUCCUCAGUGUGCCUGGAGGAUUGGAGAGCCCUUCCCUACUUCUACCUGGGCAUGCCUGCCACCCUCUCCCAUCCCACGGCCUUAGGGCUCCUGCCUCCUGGGAGAAUUUUCUACUCAAGUGAAGGGGUCUUGUGGUGGGGAGCAGGAGGCCACAGGACCCCACCCCUCAGGCUCCCUCUUCCCACUCUUGGGUGGCCUGACAACAGCAGGCACCAGAGGCCUAACCGGCUAUUCUCACUCCUGGAUACUCUGUGAUUGGGCCAAGUGCUGGGUGCAGCCAGCAACAGAUGCAAUGGUAUAGUCAGGGCAGAGGGUUAUCAGGCUGCGACUGCAUUCCCGACGGAACUCCUACAUCGAGGUCAAGAGUUGGAAGAGGUGGCUGCGGCUGCCUGUGUGUGGUGCCCAGGGUGACUCACUGCCCACAACGCCUGCUGACACUACUGGUGGGGAUGGGAUCCUGCGGAUCCUCAGCGUGGGGCCCAGGGAGCAGUAAAGGACCAUUUCAGGAACCAAGUUCAGGCUACAAGUGGCCUCUGGGAAAGCUAGAACCCAGAGUGUAGGGGAGUGCUGGCUCCACACCUCCCCGCAGCGCCAUGAUGUUCUUCAGGCCCAGCUGCUUGGCUUUGUGCAGAUGGCCCGUGAUCUCCUCCAGGCGCUGACAGCAGCAGGUCAUGUGCAGGAUGGUCUCCAGGCCACAGUAGUUCACGGCGGUGCUGGCAAUCAUCAUGGAGGAGGUCUCCUUGUCUGAGCCAGGGUCACCUGCUGGGUGCCAGGUCACAUCUAUGAAGAGGGGGCCGCCUGCCGCCAUCCGGUCAAACCUGUAGGGGGUUUGUUUCUGAAGAGAGGUUCCAGGGGCAAUACCAUCCCUCACUGCCUUCCCAUGGGGCCCAAGAGUUAGAGAAGCAUAAAUGAAGGUUGGAGACAGACCAAUCAGUGUUCAUAUCCUGGCUUUGCUACUUAUAGCUGUAUGAUCUUGGGUACAUUACUUCACCUCUGUGAGUUCUGUUUCCUUAUUUGUACGACGCGGCAGAUAAUAGUACCCACUUCAUAAUAACACUAGGAGG
This is a long non-coding RNA of Piliocolobus tephrosceles (Ugandan red Colobus), 1298 nucleotides long. RefSeq lists it as uncharacterized. The transcript has 3 exons. The record is from RefSeq and is a predicted model, not a curated record. Lineage: Eukaryota; Metazoa; Chordata; Mammalia; Primates; Cercopithecidae.